GAUGGAAAGAACUUUGAAAAGAGAGUGAAAAGCACUUGAAACCGUCACGGGGGAAGCGGAUUGCGUGAGUGAUGGUGUCGCUUGUUCAGCGCUUUAUUGCGUGCAUUCUGGCGGCGCCGUGCCGGCGUGGCUGGCUGGACUGUGAUUUUGACAGUCUCGGCUGGUGAGGGCUCCCUCGUAUGAGGUGAGGACGCGGGCAAAAUGACGCAAUACGACCCGUCUUGAAACACGGACCAAGGAGUCUAGCACGGCUGCGAGUCGAAGAGUGAUUAAACUCAAGGGCGAAGUGAAAGCGAAAUUAUAAGCAAAUUGGGGAGGCGUUGCGUUUUUAACAAAAUGUCCUACCUCGAGCAUUUGUGCUGGGACCCGAAAGAUGGUGAACUAUGCCGGAGUAGGGCAAAGCCAGAGGAAACUCUGGUGGAGGCUCGUAGCGAUGCUGACGUGCAAAUCGCUCGUCGAACUUGGGUAUAGGGGCGAAAGACUAAUCGAACCAUCUAGUAGCUGGUUCCCUCCGAAGUUUCUCUCAGGAUAGCGGGCCGACACGCGUUUGUUGUUUUGUGC
RNAcentral lists this ribosomal RNA (561 nucleotides) under Devaleraea ramentacea. RNAcentral describes it as "eukaryotic LSU rRNA". It matches the Rfam family "Eukaryotic large subunit ribosomal RNA", at positions 363 to 1006 of the family's 3401-position model. The record is from RNAcentral. Lineage: Eukaryota; Rhodophyta; Florideophyceae; Palmariales; Palmariaceae.